Molecule: long non-coding RNA, 5761 nt
Filed under: Homo sapiens (human)
Lineage: Eukaryota; Metazoa; Chordata; Mammalia; Primates; Hominidae
Description: HSALNT0358262
Source: RNAcentral
UGUCUAUUUUUCCAACAAGAUUAGCACUUUUACCUCCAGCAACUACUACAGCAUUAAAUGAUGAACUUACAGUUUUCAAAAGUAUAUUCAUUAAUUAUGAACAUCUUGACUACACUAAGUUAUCAGAGAAAAGGGAAGUGAUUUAGCUCUUGAUCACAGAGACCCAGAGCAUCAGUAAAUCAAGUGAUGACAAAAGCAAAGAACUCCAUAAUGACUCAGCUAUUCUCAAUCAGGCUGUGUUAAAACCACUCAGGUUGAGCAUGGGGAAGCUCAGCCGGUACAAGUGGUAGUCAGUGUUCCCCUGACAGUAUAAUUUUUAUGGUGUUUGUUUUAUCAAACAUAAAUGUGCAACUUGACUGCCACAAACUUCCAGAAAGAAAAAAAACACAAAGAUAUCAUCGCAGAACAUAAAAUAAGGUCUAUAUUCAGCUUCUCUGGAGAAGAGCAGAAAAAUCUACUGCUGUGAAGCAUGUCUUCUUAUGAAAAGAGUUCAGAAGGAAAAAUGUCUGAGCUUCUCUGGAGAAGAGCAGAAAAUCUGCUGCCGUGAAGUAUGUCCUCUUAUGAAAAGAGUUCAUGUAAGUAACAUGUUUUGGAGUCCCUUAACAGACAAACAAGCAAAUCAACAAAGACAAGAUGUGCACAGAAGAAUUUAGUGGUAUUGAUUGAAAUGACAUAUUUAAAUAUCAAAAUUUAAAUGGAAUAUAAAUGGAAUUAAGGGUUUCUAUGCAGACAUGGAGACAUAAAACUAGGUGAUUUACAUUUGGGAUUUCAGUAAUUUCUCACAACAUUUUUAUUUAAUGGCUAUUAUUAUUUCUGUUUUACAGAUUCAAACACUAACUUUAAAGAUUAUUAUGUGCAACCAACUUAACUGCUCUAUGGCAGAACUGGGAUUAAAAUUCAAGUUUGACAAUUUUCAAAAUCCUUCUCAAAAUUAGCUCAAUGUAACCUUUCCACAAUGUACACAUAUUUCAAAACAUUAUGUUGUGCAUGAUAAACCCAUACAAUUUUUAUUUGCCAGUUGUACAUAAAUAAUUGAUUAAUUAAACCAACCAACCAACACACACCCACACCAAAAACCUUCUUUGAAACUGUAAGCAUGGAAAAUACUGAAGUUUUCACCUGAAUGAAUUAAAAUCUCAAUUUAAAUAUGAUUGAAACCAAAUUAAAUUUGAACUUCUUGUAUUUAUUGAACUUCUGUUAAAUAAAUUGCACGUCCAAAAGGACACUUGUACUUUAUUAGCCUUUUCCAUCUUCCAGCUGGGGAUGUAUGGUAGUGGUAGUGGGAAGUGGGGAAAGGAAUAUAAUUGAGGAAUUAAGUAAAUAAUUCAAAAACCUUUAGAAUGUAAGUGCGAACUCUAUACCAGAAAGUAGAAUUUCACAUUUGCUUUCCAGUGCAUGAAAAGUCAAGGCUAUUGAUGGACAGUCUAUUUCUUAGACAAUGUGAAUUUCUAAAAAUUGACCAAACAAUGAGGUCUAUUUAUUUGAGGAAUAGGAUUCAUAUGCAACACGAGUUCAUACCUCAGACCUUGGAUAAGUUCAACUAAAGUGACACAGCUAUUUAAUCAAAAGAUGAGAGCACUCCAAUGACAACUUCUUAAAUUGAUCUGGAAUUUGAUUGCUGUGUAGGUAUAAUAUUAGCCAAACACAACUUUUGUUUCAUGUGUACUUUUGCAGCUAAGUAACAUAAGUUAUAUAAUCACCUUUAACAUUACUGCCAGAUAUUGUAUGAAUAUUUAAGAAUAACUGCAUUUUAACUUAAAUUAAAAGCCAUUUGUCUUUGAUUAACUAUACUUAUUCCAGAUUGUUAAACAAUGUGCUUGACAUUCACUUGAGAGUUUUGAGAAGGCACGUAGUUUUGUUGUGUUUGCUGGCAGUUCAAUCUUUGUGUAUACACACAUGCAUUUAACGACUGUAAAGAAGAGAUCACAAAUUCGUGAUGCGCAACUAGAACAUAAAUUAUUUUCAUUGCAAGCUAUAACUGCAACGACAAGAGAAGUUUUAUGAUACAUUUUUGUCACUAAUAUGAAUGUUAAAGAGUUGAGAAUUUACGUGUUAGGAGGCACGCUCAACUAGAUUGUGAAACAAUAGUUUCUAACAGCUCUGAAGGAGCUAUUAGAUUGUGUAAAAAAAUGUGUUCUAAAAAGUCCCUAAAUAUGUAUUUAUAUAAUUGGAGCUAUUAUGGUUUAUUGUAUCAAUUACUCAUGUACUAAAGAAGAAAGAACCAACAGCUUAAAACACUUUCAUUAAAGGGGUUGGCAGUUACACACAAGCAACCCAAUCUUGAGCCUUUGAAGAGGUUAAGACAAACAAUGUAAAUGUUCUUGUAAAAUUAUCUGUAAUAUCUCUAAACACAACUUCUACUUGGGAAUAAAAAUAGUGUGUAUUUGUAAUGAUGAUCAAAUAAGGAUUAUAGAAUUGUUACAGGAUGAAAAUCAUACCCCGUACAUUGUGUCAAGCUAUUUUAAAAUAAAAAGAAAUGAAAGUAGGGGAAGAAAAGCCUGAAUUUUUGUAGACACUACCAAGACUGGCUUUCUGAUUUUGUUUAAUUGACAUCUAUAUAUGAAGACACUAAUAAAUAGCCUUUGCUUCAGGUUUUGUUGUUGUUAUUGUUUUAUGCAUUUAAUCUAGAUUGGAGGAAAAGGAAUUCUAUACAGGAAAUGCUAAUUAACAAUACAGAACGAAAGCACAAGAAAUGUGAUGCAGCUUUAAUUGUCAAAUCUUAAAUACUACAGCUUCAGAGAAUGUGUAAAUAAAUUUGUGACAGAAUGUUUUUUGCAGUUUUCAUUCAUUGUCAUUUUCCAGGGGGUUUUGAUGUAAAGAGUUUUCAUUUGCAGAUAUAGAGGACAAAGAUAAUAGUAGGGCAGGAAAUAAUUUACAAACUAGCAGGCUGAAUUAUUAUAAUAAAUCUCACUUGGCUAAAGAUGAUAAUGAUGUGAUAAUAACUGUUUCUUUCCCUAUUAUUCUCUAUGGAGUGAACUUAGUAAAAAUAACUUGGUGGGCAUUUCAACAGACACAUUGGAAGUUUACUAUUUCCUUUGAGUUAGGUAGGGCUGAAUGGUUGAUAUACACUGGGGGAUUUUAACAUUAUACAUAACUUUGCAAGUGUAGAAAUGACCAAUAUAAGCUAAAAAUUUUAAAUUGUUCCACAAGAUAUUCUUGGGCAUUUUUAUCCCCUGGUAGAUUUUCAGACACUGAGGUUCCCCCUAAUGCAAUAUAAAAAUGUUAAAAUAAUACCUAGUUCACAAUUAAGAAUUGAGGUUUCUUAAUGUUCUAUGUAAAUAAUAACAUAAUCAAAACUACUUUUCAAACACCAUGUUUUUUGCUUUUAUUAAUUUUCCUAUCUAGCCCACUAAGUACUGCACUAAUCAACAUAUAUUAUUGGCCAAUUAGCAUGAACAUUAAAACUAGGAAUGUUGGCAUUUUAAUCCUAAGAAAUAAAUAACUCAAUAGGGGAAAUAUGUCACCUACCACCAUUCAGCUAAUUGAGUAAAGAAAAACUAUAUCUACAUAAUGCACAUAAAGUUAGUAUAAGUUUAGUUGGGCAUUUGUCUUGAUAGAUGUUAAAAUCCCUGUAGAAUUUACUUUGAUUAUUAAACUCAAAAAUUUUUUUUUUGUUUUACAAAAAUAUUUUUUACACUCCAGGAAUUUACUUUAAUGAUAAUAUUUACAUUUCUAUAUUUUUGAAUUUAAUAAAAUAAUUAUAAUAAGUACAAGUAAGUGUGUAUUGAAUACUGAUUAUGUACCAGUCAUUGUGCUAAAUACUUUAUAUGAAAUAACCCUUUUAGUAUCAAAAUAGCCCUAGGAAGAAGCUGGGGGAGCUCAUGAGGUUAGCAAGAAACCUUAAACAAAUAGCUGGGAAGUGACAAAGAAUUACAUUUAAUAAAAAGAAGUAUCAUUACUUUAAUUUUGUUAUUCUGCUUAUAUAUGUUGGUUCACUUUGCCAAGAAAUUCCCUCAAUCCCAUUCCCCUUUCAUACUGAUAAAUAAAAGCUGUCUAUAAUUCAAAGUUCAAUUUAUAUUUUCUCUAAGAAGCCUUUCUACAUCUCUUUACCUGAAGCAUCUCCAACAUUCCAAACUUCCAUAGUAGAAGGUAAACCUUCAUUGAGCACCCAUUAUACUCUACUCUUUUAUUAAAUUAUGCAUACAAGAAUUUAUUUAGCUUAAUUGUAUUGUGACUUUAUUUUUUAUUUUGUGGGUAUAUAAUGGGUAUAUAUGUAUGGGUUAUAUGAGACAUUUUGAUACAGGCAUGCAAUGUCUAAUAAUCAUAUGUGGGUAAAUGGGGUAUCUAUCACCACAAGCAUUUAUUCUUUGUGUUACAAACAACCCAGUUACACUCUUCUAGUUAUUUUUAAAUGUACAGCUAAAUUAUUUUUGAUUAUACUCACCCUGUUAUGUUAGCCAAUACCAGGUCUUAUUCUAUCCUAAUUAUAUUAUAAAUGACAGGAGGUCAGGAAUUAUGGUUCUGUUAUACUAGUGUCUUCUGCAGACUCCACUAAAAUAAGCAUUUGCUGAAUUUAUGCUGUAUUCCUCUAUUUAUAAAUACAGUAUACUUAGUUUAAUAAAAUUCAAAUUACAUUUUAUGAUAUCAUGUAAAGCAAUAAAAAUUCAUGCACUAUAGAAAAAUAUAAUUGUUCUACUUCUAAUAAGAUAGUUAAAUAGAAAAAUAAUACAAGAUACCAUAAUGACUAAUAAUGUCAAUUAAGGACCACAGUAAUAAAGGACCACAGUAAUAUAAAACAGGAUAACAAAAUUGAAAAAAAUUUACAUUGAUUAUUUUUGAUACUAUUGCAUCCUUUAGAAAAAGAUAGUCAACACUAACCCUUCAUAAAAUCUACUGCAAUAAUAAUUUAAAUAAUGGUUUUGAUUUUAUUUUGUGUCCAUAUUUCAUUAAUUAAAACAUUACUCGGCCGAGCAUGGUGGCUCAUGGCUGUAAUCCCAGGACGUUGGGAUCCAUCCACGAGGUGGAUGGAUCACCUGAGAUUAGGAGUUUAAGACAAGCCUGGCCUACAUGAUGAAACCCUGUCCCUACUAAAAAUACAAAAAAACAGCUGGGCAUGGGGGUGGGUGCCUGUAAUGCCAGCUACUGGAGAGGCUGAGGCAAGGAGAAUCGCUUGAACCCAGGAGGCAGAGGUUGCAGUGAGCCGAGAUCACACCAUUGCACUCCAGUCUGGGCAACAAGAGUGAAACUCCAUCUCAAUUUAAAAAAAAAAAUUACUCAAAGAGAAAAGCAUACGCGUUAGCAGAAAAUACUUUGAAAUUUCCCAGAAUGUAAGCUAUCUUUUUCAAAUUAAUGACGUAAAGUUAUAUAUGAGAAAAGGUCUUGGUGGGUAGGGGGGAUUGAGGUUUCAUAAAAUCAGUGAUUAAAAUAUUUUAAUAUAUUCUUUUUUAUAUUUAUUUAGAUAUCACCUACAUUUAAAGCAGUUAUUUGGUAAAUUCUGCUUUAUUUCUGAUAAUAGUAGACAGAGAUGAGAAGUAACAAUAAUGUUUUCAAAUACCUAAAUGCCACCUUUUUUUAAAAAAAAAAGCAAAUAGAAUUCUUGUGAACUUCCUUCUGACAUUUUUAACAAGUUUUUCUGUUCACAUAUUGUUUUUAUUAAAGCAUUUGCAUUUGCACUUUGUGAAAUAAAAUUUGAUACACCAGAAACCUGUUCCACCAUUAUCUCUUGAGACCUUGAGGUAAUAAAAAGUUCAUACUACAGCUCUUCAUCUUCUUUUACAACUACUGCAAAUAAAGGGCACCUAUCUGGGACACAAAAACCAAA